RNAcentral lists this unclassified non-coding RNA (257 nucleotides) under Hevea brasiliensis (rubber tree). The record is from RNAcentral. Lineage: Eukaryota; Viridiplantae; Streptophyta; Magnoliopsida; Malpighiales; Euphorbiaceae.
AUUAUUGCUAUUGGCAUGGAUGAUUCCACUAUUCAGAUCUAUAAUGUCCGUGUUGAUGAGGUCAAGAGCAAGCUCAAAGGUCACUCUAAAAGAAUAACAGGCCUUGCCUUUUCCCAUGUGCUGAAUGUGCUUGUUUCAUCAGGAGCAGAUGCUCAACUUUGUGUCUGGAGUUCUGAUGGAUGGGAAAAGCAGAAGACGAGAUUCUUGCAAGUUCCACCUGGGAGAACUACAACUGGACAAUCAGACACACGUGUACA